This 904-nucleotide ribosomal RNA is filed under the name Escherichia coli. RNAcentral's name for it is "partial 23S ribosomal RNA". It matches the Rfam family "Bacterial large subunit ribosomal RNA", at positions 559 to 1462 of the family's 2925-position model. The record is from RNAcentral. Lineage: Bacteria; Pseudomonadati; Pseudomonadota; Gammaproteobacteria; Enterobacterales; Enterobacteriaceae.
UGUACGUACAAGCAGUGGGAGCACGCUUAGGCGUGUGACUGCGUACCUUUUGUAUAAUGGGUCAGCGACUUAUAUUCUGUAGCAAGGUUAACCGAAUAGGGGAGCCGAAGGGAAACCGAGUCUUAACUGGGCGUUAAGUUGCAGGGUAUAGACCCGAAACCCGGUGAUCUAGCCAUGGGCAGGUUGAAGGUUGGGUAACACUAACUGGAGGACCGAACCGACUAAUGUUGAAAAAUUAGCGGAUGACUUGUGGCUGGGGGUGAAAGGCCAAUCAAACCGGGAGAUAGCUGGUUCUCCCCGAAAGCUAUUUAGGUAGCGCCUCGUGAAUUCAUCUCCGGGGGUAGAGCACUGUUUCGGCAAGGGGGUCAUCCCGACUUACCAACCCGAUGCAAACUGCGAAUACCGGAGAAUGUUAUCACGGGAGACACACGGCGGGUGCUAACGUCCGUCGUGAAGAGGGAAACAACCCAGACCGCCAGCUAAGGUCCCAAAGUCAUGGUUAAGUGGGAAACGAUGUGGGAAGGCCCAGACAGCCAGGAUGUUGGCUUAGAAGCAGCCAUCAUUUAAAGAAAGCGUAAUAGCUCACUGGUCGAGUCGGCCUGCGCGGAAGAUGUAACGGGGCUAAACCAUGCACCGAAGCUGCGGCAGCGACGCUUAUGCGUUGUUGGGUAGGGGAGCGUUCUGUAAGCCUGUGAAGGUGUGCUGUGAGGCAUGCUGGAGGUAUCAGAAGUGCGAAUGCUGACAUAAGUAACGAUAAAGCGGGUGAAAAGCCCGCUCGCCGGAAGACCAAGGGUUCCUGUCCAACGUUAAUCGGGGCAGGGUGAGUCGACCCCUAAGGCGAGGCCGAAAGGCGUAGUCGAUGGGAAACAGGUUAAUAUUCCUGUACUUGGUGUUACUGCGAAGG